This 587-nucleotide ribosomal RNA is filed under the name Escherichia coli. Its description in RNAcentral is "partial 23S ribosomal RNA". It matches the Rfam family "Bacterial large subunit ribosomal RNA", at positions 2211 to 2797 of the family's 2925-position model. The record is from RNAcentral. Lineage: Bacteria; Pseudomonadati; Pseudomonadota; Gammaproteobacteria; Enterobacterales; Enterobacteriaceae.
UGUUUGAUGUUCUAACGUUGGCCCGUAAUCCGGGUUGCGGACAGUGUCUGGUGGGUAGUUUGACUGGGGCGGUCUCCUCCUAAAGAGUAACGGAGGAGCACGAAGGUUGGCUAAUCCUGGUCGGACAUCAGGAGGUUAGUGCAAUGGCAUAAGCCAGCUUGACUGCGAGCGUGACGGCGCGAGCAGGUGCGAAAGCAGGUCAUAGUGAUCCGGUGGUUCUGAAUGGAAGGGCCAUCGCUCAACGGAUAAAAGGUACUCCGGGGAUAACAGGCUGAUACCGCCCAAGAGUUCAUAUCGACGGCGGUGUUUGGCACCUCGAUGUCGGCUCAUCACAUCCUGGGGCUGAAGUAGGUCCCAAGGGUAUGGCUGUUCGCCAUUUAAAGUGGUACGCGAGCUGGGUUUAGAACGUCGUGAGACAGUUCGGUCCCUAUCUGCCGUGGGCGCUGGAGAACUGAGGGGGGCUGCUCCUAGUACGAGAGGACCGGAGUGGACGCAUCACUGGUGUUCGGGUUGUCAUGCCAAUGGCACUGCCCGGUAGCUAAAUGCGGAAGAGAUAAGUGCUGAAAGCAUCUAAGCACGAAACUUGC